GUCUUUUUGCCUUUUCUAGGGCCACUCCUGCGCCAUAUGGAGGUUACCAGGCUAGGGAUCUAAUCAGAGCUGUAGCCACUGGCCUACGCCAGAACCACAGCAACGUGGGACCCGAGCUGAAUCUGUGACCUACACCACAGCUCACGGCAACACUGGAUCCUUAACCCACUGAGCAAGGCCAGGGAUCAAACCCGCAACCUCACAGUUCCUAGUCGGAUUUGUUAGCCACUGCACCAUAACGAGAACUCCUCUUUUAUAGUGUUUUUUAAUGUGGAAAGAAUUUCUUUUGGCUCAUUAAAUCAUUAAAAUCAGAAAAGAUAUGUACUUAUUCUUUUCUUUGUUUCCUUUAAAUCUUCUAAUCCCUUUCCAGCGUGUGAUUUUAUAUUAAGAAUGGGACUUAAAAUAAGAGGUUUUGCAGAGCAAUAAGAAAAGGUAUGAUUUUUUUUCUAAUACACAGUGAGAUCACCUGCACUAAUCUGUGAAUAAAAGAACUAUUCCCUAACAAACUGUUUUUCUUGAUAGAUUUUCUGUUAGAAGCUUUAGAAUAAGCCAUGCAAUUUAUAAGCUGAGUGUGUAGAAACGCAAAUAAAAUGAAAAGAAAAUGAAACAUCUUCUUCCUAAUAUUACAGCAAAAGACCAAGAUAUGGCAUCGUUUUAUACAUCCUGUCAUUUAUACAAGACAUGGACAUGACCAAAAUUCCCACGCAGCUGGAGAGGAAUUGUCCACGAUGAGAAAUAAACCAUUUAAUUCCUUCGAUGGAGAUGGGCGCUCCAUGUGUACGCAAAGGAGAUAAACACAGCUGCCCCGUUUCUGCCUUUCCUCCAUUUUGAAGUGAGACAGGACCACGAAGUCUGUAUUUCACACGGGAAGAGCUCUAAAUGUCAGGGGAUGGUCUUCAUUCUAUUUGGGAUCCUGUUGCUUUCCAUUAAAACCCAAUGCCUGGAGGCCCCUCACCUAACUCAUGCCUAUGUGGAAGAAUUCCCUAGAUCACCACAAAAAGACGCCGAAUUUACUCUGCACUCUUCAGUCCAUUAAAAUAAUUACCUGUAAAAUUAAUACCCAACAGGAAAAUUACUAAAGAAAUUGUCUUUUUUCCCAAAGUAGCUUGGAAAGAUCUAGAGUGUGUGUUCUUGUAUAUUUUUAUGGAUAUUCUUAGAGAGGAAACCACAUUUCUAAUAUCCCAUUUUUUAUGAGGCAGUUAUUACCAUUGAUACAUCAUCAGUCUGCUUUAUUACACCCUUGAGAAGCAGGUGAUAUUGCUUAUGUCAGAAUAGAACAUAUUAAACCAUCCACUGCAUCACAAAAUUCUAAGAAUGACAACUCUUCCCCUAAAAAUUUAGCAUUGUCUUAUUUAGCUGUCAAAGCUUACGUCACAAUUGGAUUCCAAAAGGAACAAGAUUUCACCCUGCUUUUAAGAUCCCUCCAGCAGAUGUUAUAUUUAUGAGUGAUUUACAUAGUUGAGAAAAAUUAUUUCCAAAAAUAAGGUAAUCUCUCCAAAUCACUGAAAUAAGCUUCAUUGAUUAAUUCAUAGACUGAAGAAAUACUGCAUGUUUUGGUCUUAGGAAUAUAUGUAGUCAAGGAAAAAAUGUACUUAGAAGAAAAUCAAACAGGAAAUGCUAGGAGACAUAUUUCUGUUAAAAAGUAAAUACACAAAUCCCCCCUACCCAGAUUCUGUGCUAUGAAGAGGAAAAAAAUUAUUAGGAUUCUGAAAAGAAAUUUUGAAGAACAUAAAACUGUCACCAACCCUAUCUUAAAACAAAAGUUUAAUUUAUGGCCUACAUAAGCCUUGUUCUCUGUAUUCUUCCUACAGAUAGCAAGGGAGUUUCUAAAAAUAAGUACCAGAAGCUUUCUGAUUUGCUUCUUAUUCUAACAAUAAUGACCAAACAUCAAUGAAGGUGUUAGCUCAUCCCAGAAACCAUAGAGAAACGUGUUCAUCAAAGUUCAAAUCUCUGGUGAGCAUCUUUGCCGUGUCUCUAAAAGGGUCUCCGAAGCUAUAAUAACUUCAAUUCACACGUUUCAAGAGAGAAGGACACAGUGUUAAGAGAUUCAAGAAUCCUCCGUAAUUCAAGAUAAAAACAGCCCAGAUAAGCCCCUGACAUGCAGUCUUUGAGAAAAUGCAUUUGGAGUAAUCAUACCGUUGCUUGACAACGUCUGGGAUUGUCACAGAAUUUCAUCAGAUACAACAAAAUAAUUCCAGAAUAUACAGCAGCUGUCUCAGGCUUUGAGCCACGUCUAUUUACGUGUUCCACAUACAGGGUGAAGCAAAAAGUAUAGUCACAGGAAGGUCAGCGCACUCUCUCUAAAGUUCUUAAACGUUUCUCAUAAUGUAUUACUGAUUAAAUAACCAAUAACGAUUGUAUAAUUCCAUAAAGCCAUUUGUUUAUGUCAGAAUAUAAUACAUGAAAUAGGUAAGGUGUUGUGUUAAAUACAUUAAUAUGCCACAUUAUAUGUUCAUAUAACACAUUAAUAUGCCCAAACAUUAUUGUUACACUUUGAUGAGGAGAUGGUAUCAGUUUCAGAGCCAAUUACAUUUGGAAAAUAAUUUCAAGACAAAGUUUUCAUCACGUGCAUCAUAGCCUCAGCCUAUUUCCUGGAGUAUGUAAAGAAUUUCCUGGAAAUUGCAGUAAAAUUAAUUUUAGUCUAUAUUCAAAACAUUUGGUUUCUUAGAAGGUUUACAUAUGCAAAUUAUGAAGCAUUAGUUUAUUAACAAAUCUUCAUGAAGCACCUAUUAGGUGCAGAGACUGCUCAGAAAUAUGAGCCCCCAGUGAACACAGAAGAUAACCCUAGCUCUUGCUGUCAUUUCCUGCCACCUAUACCUUUUGUCUUUUGCCCCAGCACAGAAAUCAUUAAGAAGGAAAUGUGUUCUAGAAUAUUAGAAUCCCUCUUUAUUAACUUUAGCUUAUUGAAAAAAGAUCCCCCAAAAUUAUAGUAUUGGGAACUCAUUGUUCAGUGGAUAAAUUUAAUGCAUAUUUAACUAAUAAAAAUAUAAUCUAGUCCAAAUAACCAUGUGUUUUAUUAAAUAAAUUAAUAAUUUGGUUAUUGCUUAGAGUGAUGAAUCUCCACAUUUCAUAAUCAUUUUUCAGCUUUAAAAUGUAUUCAUUACAUGGACCUAUUUUAAAAGUCCUUCUAAAGUGCACCUUGGCCAGGCAGGAAACUAUGCAGUGUUCUGCUGGGCAACCCAAAUUUUGACAUGAGAGGCCUGACUCAGUCAAUGGCAUCCACGUCACUACCGCCAGGGGUGGGGGAGGGUCUCAGGGUGUAUGUGCACAGAUCAAUAGAAUCAAAUGGCUUAGAGCAAAGCUUUGUUGUCUCAUCAUCUGAACAGCUAAAUUAACAGUCCAUUGUAAUUGGCUGCAAAUCAGUCCAUUUGCAGUUGUGCGCUGACCCUCAGAGCUCCCUAGUAUCACAGUCCACCUGAGCACUGAGCUGUAGACACAUAUCCCUGCAGCGCUAGUUGACCUCCACAGAUUAAGAAACAAACAUAGGGUUGGCAUCCACACAAUUUUUUGAGGGCUCUGGGAACAGAAAAGGGAUCCAGUGAUCUUAUGGAAUGAUAUGGGCAACUGUGCUCCUUCAUCACGUGUGAAGAAAGAAGGAACUGUGGUUAAUGUUACUUAAAUAAUUGUCACUACCCUUCCUCUGGUUAACAUCUGGGCAUCCUUUUUACCAAUGGAGAGAAAUGCUUCAAGUUUUCCUUCUCACUAGGGUUAUGCUUUGUACAAGGAAGAUAUCUCACUAGGGAUAUGCUUGGUACAGGUUUAAAUCUUUCCUUUAAGGAGUUUUUAGGAUGGGGGCACAUAUUCUGGAUACUGGCGAUUUUUACUUAAAACAGUUUCAAUGUAAUCAAUGCAAAAACGUUGCUUCUCAAGAAGGGCUGUGACUGUUUCCAAGAUAAAUGAGAUUGGUUUAUGGUGGUCAGGAAGGACAAUCUCCAGAGCAUCUAGGAAGUGGCUGUGUAUGGAUAUAUAUGUGUGUGUAUGUAUGUAUACAUAUUCGUGUGUAUGUAUGUGUGUGUGUAUAUGUAUUCAUAUAUGACUGAAUCUUUCAUGCACCUGAAACUAACUCGACCUUGUAAACCACCUACAUCUCAAUUUAAAAAAAUGAAGCCAAAAAGUAAAGAGUAUCAGCGGCUCCGUCCCACCACCACCCAGGGUGCAGAGGUGGAGACAGCAGGUGCUGGAUUUAGGAGGCAAACCCUAAAGAGGCAGAACCACAGAGCUUCAAGUCUGUCUGAGGCUUUCCCUGGUUUUGUUCAGGUGAGUCACUCAAUUAAGGUUUCAUUCUUUUUUUUUUUUUUUCCAUCCAAUACAAAUGUUUAUCAAGAGCCUUCUGACUGCCCCGCCCAGUGUGGGGCAAACACACAGCAUCCCCUAACAUUUCAGCCUACGGGUCUACUUGUGCAGGUUCAUCAAGAAGCGAAAUGGAAACUACAAGAGACCAGUAAUAGGAGGCAAUCACGGAGGAGCAGCCCUGAGGCUCAAGGAGAAUUGAAGGUGAGAUGGACGAGCCAGAAGUGGGAGCCAUAGUUACAGUCAGAGCUGAUGGCCUGUGCAACUGAGGAUCCCAUGGAGAACCGACUGCACAGGAGUCUCAAAAAUAACGCCUACUUUCUGCAGCCCCCCACCACAGCCGCCGCCCCCGCCUGUCACCAGCAAAGGUGCCUUCCUUUGCAUGAGAGACAUUCACCCAUUAAUAGAAAAGGAAAAUGGUAGCAUAACACAGAAGACAGAAGAGGACUCAGAGGUUCUCAUAUGGGAAGCAAAUAUGAGGACUCUGCAGAUACACUGGGUUAUGCCUUAUUUGUAUACUUUAUCUACUGCAUAUAUGUAUAACUUAAUAUUCAUUACAAUAGAAUUCACCUUAUAUGUAGAGAGGAAUCUACCCUUGUAUGUAUAUAUGCAUGUACAUAUUUAUGCCAUGUUUGCAUAUAAGCAUAUAAACGUGUGCAUAAAUACAUCACAUAUAUGUACAUAUUUAUGUAUAUAUAGAUACUAUAACUGUGUAUGAUGAUGAUUUUAACCUAGGGUUAUGUUUAGUGAUAAAAUGAAAGGAUUCUUUUCCCACAGGUAUGUGCCAGGGUUUCCAUAGGUAUUAAAGAUUUUGUUGUCUUCAAACUCUCAUUUUUCAUAUAUAAAGAUAAAAUGUAUAACAAAAAUGGAAAGAUAAAAGUCUCCUGGGACUCAAAUCCAUGCCUACUCCCCCCACAGAGCAUGUGUUUUCAUGGAGAAAUGUCCCAAUCUGUCCUCUUUGUGAGGUGACUCAUAGAGCACAUCCACACUGCCCUGGUGUCACUCCUGUCAUGUGUCUCAGAGCCAACACCAUUGCUUUCUCAGGAUAGGCAUUGUGUACUUUUCAACCUAAAAUUGUAAUUUUCCACAUUUUGAGUUUUCUCAUAUAAUCCAAAUACAAUUUCUGAAUCAAAGCAAACAAUUUAAUCACAUACUUAAAAUCAAUGGAAAUACAAGGCAGAUUUAUGGAAAGAGAAUGCUGUUGCAAUCAAUAUUUUAAAUUGCAUCAUUUUGUUUGUAGCCAAAUUAAUAUAAUUCAGCUAUCACACUAAAUACGUACUCGCAAUAUGAUUAGAAAUAAAUCAUUAGGAGUAAUAUGGUAAUGCAAUAAGCUUAUGACUAUGGAAUCAUUUGGUGAAAAUUGAAAAUAGUUAAUGAUUUGAUAUAGUGUUGGCAAAGAAAAUUAGAACUAUCAGCCACAAAUAUUAUCUUUGCUAACACUAUAUUUAAACCUGUCAGUGCCACUAUUGUAAUAGUGUUAAAAAGCUAAAUUUCACAUCCACAUAAUGUGUAUCACCUAUAAUACUAUUCAGUCAACCUCUUGGCG
This 5836-nucleotide long non-coding RNA is filed under the name Sus scrofa (pig). Its description in RNAcentral is "lncRNA (ENSSSCG00015009833.1)". The record is from RNAcentral. Lineage: Eukaryota; Metazoa; Chordata; Mammalia; Artiodactyla; Suidae.